UGAUAAGACCUAGCAACAGGUAGUUCACCAAUCUGCGUGAACUUUAAAAGGGAAGUUUGGUGAAAAUCCAACACGGUCGCGCCACUGUGAUGCAGAGCGAGGAUCAAUAACCCACUGUUCCUUGUUUGGAAUGGGAAGGGGAUCCACCGCGAUGAAGCUAAGUCAGGAGACCUGCCUGUUGUAUACACUUUCG
This 193-nucleotide non-coding RNA is filed under the name Geobacillus sp. Lineage: Bacteria; Bacillati; Bacillota; Bacilli; Caryophanales; Anoxybacillaceae. The record is from RNAcentral.